Molecule: ribosomal RNA, 414 nt
Filed under: uncultured bacterium
Lineage: Bacteria
Description: bacterial SSU rRNA
Rfam family: Bacterial small subunit ribosomal RNA
Source: RNAcentral
GGAAUAUUGGACAAUGGGCGCAAGCCUGAUCCAGCCAUGCCGCGUGCAGGAAGACUGCCCUAUGGGUUGUAAACUGCUUUUAUACAGGAAGAAACACCCCGACGUGUCGGGACUUGACGGUACUGUAAGAAUAAGGAUCGGCUAACUCCGUUCCAGCAGCCGCGGUAAUACGGAGGAUCCAAGCGUUAUCCGGAAUCAUUGGGUUUAAAGGGUCCGUAGGUGGAUAAUUAAGUCAGGGGUGAAAGUCUGCAGCUCAACUGUAGAAUUGCCUUUGAUACUGGUUAUCUUGAGUUAUUAUGAAGUAGUUAGAAUAUGUAGUGUAGCGGUGAAAUGCAUAGAUAUUACAUAGAAUACCAAUUGCGAAGGCAGAUUACUAAUAAUAUACUGACACUGAUGGACGAAAGCGUGGGGAGC